Molecule: long non-coding RNA, 1755 nt
Organism: Homo sapiens (human)
Lineage: Eukaryota; Metazoa; Chordata; Mammalia; Primates; Hominidae
Product: long intergenic non-protein coding RNA 885
Source: Ensembl
GGUGAGAGAAAGCUGAGCAGAAUGGAUCUAAUCUGAUUCCUCCACCCAGAAGCCCUUAAAAUGCAGCUUUGUUUUAAGCCUUCUUGAAGAUUUGGGCUAGAUCUAGAAAAGAACCUCACCACGGAGGAUGUGCAAAGUACAACACGUGACCCCGGAGACGGAAGCUCUUCUCUACCUCCGUAAAGAUGAUCUCUGAUGAACAGACAUGAUCAUGCCUGGAGAACAGGGAUGGACAGUCCCGCUUCUGAAAGACCCUGUCUGGCUGAUGAUUCAUGGUGCGCCGGGCAGACCCCAGGCCAAGAGACCCCACCCACAGUACCUGAGUGCUCAGCUGGGAACCAGACCAGACCUCAAAACAGGUUUGCAGAAUUAAGAUGAGGAGCUGAGCUCAACACAGCCUCCGCAGCUCCCCAGGGCGGGCCUGAGCCGAGGGAGAGCCCAUGGCCAUCAGGGUGCUGGAAUGCAUGUCACACUGCAUUACGUGCAUUACGAUCCACGCUGCAAUGACAGCCCAGAGCGUGGAGAACCCAGAGAGGGUGGGGAGAUGGAAUCCCGGCGAGCCAGCGCUGGCAGGGACCACGGGGAGCAGCUGGUCCAGCCGCCGGUUUUCCAAGAGAGAAGACUAAGAAGUGAGUCACUUGCCCACAGCCACAGAGAGAAGGAGGGCAACGAGGCCGGCAGGUCAGCAGCGAGCAGUUAGUUCAAGGCCUUGAGGGCUUCCACUAACUUUGAAGGGCGAGGAUGGGCGGAGCUCUGGAGGCCGCCGGGACCAGCCCCCCAGCAUUGACCUGGAUGCCUGCCACAGCCUCCUCCCUGGUCUCCGGCCUCCCACCUCUGCUCCUCGGUCUCCUCUACCCAGCCAGUAACUGCAGAGAGCACUAAAGCACAGUCCUGGCAUCUCACCCCCUUAACCCUGGCCACGGCUUCCCAGUGCCUCCAAGAUAAAGCACCAACACCUGAGGACAGCAGCUUGUUUUGAGAGUCCCCUCCAUUGAAACACGCACAUCUAAUUUGUCCUUCAGUUCGCUGGACUCCACGCUGAACGUGCCAUGCUCCAUUGCCCCGUGAGUAACUCCAUGCUCUUGCCGGUUUCACACGGCCUCUCAGAGCUGGAGCCUUUGUUCAGGAGCCCUGGGCAGCUUUCAGGAAGCUCUUGGGCUCAUCAGCUUCCUCUGGCUGAAGCCGCCCCAGUGGAAUCAUGGGGAUUUCUUACUUUGAAGGUGGGGCCACCCGCAGACUGUAACCGGCUGGUUCAAGAUCAAGGACUUCCCCAGGCCACCUGCCUCAGAGGCAAGAAAGGCUCAGCUGAGUCCCAGACACUCCUCGCUGUGGCCCCUCCUUCCUCCCUGCUGGGCAGGCCCCCCUCAAUUCUGUUUGCCAGCAGGGCCUAGUAACACUGAAAGACGAAAAGGGAAAUAAAAUAAACACAAUUAAUAGGCUAAAGGUUACUGAAUAAAGUGGCAGCAGUAAAUAAAUUGACUACUGUGCAAAUACAAAGACAUGAAGACAUGAAACCCCUGCUCUAAAUGACCACUCACCAAGAGCAAGGCCUGGGCUGGAGGCAGGGAGCACCUCCCUAAGGAGCACUCCCUCUUUCCCGGAGUGAGUCCUCCUUCUAGAUGGAAUUCAGUCCGGGUUCCUCUUGAGCCACAGUCCCUGUUGGGGCCUAUCUCAGUGGACUCAAGAUCCUGAACUUCUUCCAGAUUGCUGACUACACAUUUGAGUCACCCAGAGAUUAAAAGAAAAAACAAAUAA